Molecule: ribosomal RNA, 397 nt
Filed under: uncultured bacterium
Lineage: Bacteria
Description: partial 16S ribosomal RNA
Rfam family: Bacterial small subunit ribosomal RNA
Source: RNAcentral
AUACGUAGGGGGCGAGCGUUGUCCGGAAUGAUUGGGCGUAAAGGGCGCGUAGGCGGCCCGGUAAGUCUGGAGUGAAAGUCCUGUUUUUAAGAUGGGAAUUGCUUUGGAUACUGUCGGGCUUGAGUGCAGGAGAGGUAAGUGGAAUUCCCAGUGUAGCGGUGAAAUGCGUAGAGAUUGGGAGGAACACCAGUGGCGAAGGCGACUUACUGGACUGUAACUGACGCUGAGGCGCGAAAGUGUGGGGAGCAAACAGGAUUAGAUACCCUGGUAGUCCACACUGUAAACGAUGAAUGCUAGGUGUAGGGGGUAUCGACCCCUUCUGUGCCGCAGUCAACACAAUAAGCAUUCCGCCUGGGGAGUACGGCCGCAAGGUUGAAACUCAAAUGAAUCGACGGGG